CGGGAGGCAGCAGUCGGGAAUAUUGCCCAAUGCGCGAAAGCGUGAGGCAGCAACGCCGCGUGCGCGAUGAAGGCCUUCGGGUCGUAAAGCGCUUUUCAGUGGGAUGAGGAAGGACAGUACCACUGGAAUAAGGUACGGCUAACUACGUGCCAGCAGCCGCGGUAAAACGUAGGUACCGAGCGUUAUCCGGAUUUACUGGGCGUAAAGCGUGUUCAGGCGGUCUAGCAAGUCGGGCAUGAAAUCUCUCGGCUCAACCGGGAGGGGUUGUCCGAUACUGCUGGACUGGAGGGCAGCAGAGGGUGGUGGAAUUCCGGGUGUAGUGGUGAAAUGCGUAGAUAUCCGGAGGAACACCAGUGGCGAAGGCGGCCACCUGGGCUGUACCUGACGCUAACACACGAAAGCUAGGGGAGCGAACGGGAUUAGAAACCCCGGUAGUCCUAGCCGUAAACGAUGUUGACUAGGUGUCGACGGUC
This 473-nucleotide ribosomal RNA is filed under the name uncultured bacterium. Its description in RNAcentral is "bacterial SSU rRNA". It matches the Rfam family "Bacterial small subunit ribosomal RNA", at positions 342 to 831 of the family's 1533-position model. The record is from RNAcentral.